This is a non-coding RNA of Arachis ipaensis, 426 nucleotides long. The record is from RefSeq and is a predicted model, not a curated record. NCBI's taxonomy places the organism in Eukaryota, Viridiplantae, Streptophyta, Magnoliopsida, Fabales, Fabaceae.
AGAUAAUUAAUUGUUUCUCAGAAAGAAGAAUGAAUUGAAGAAUAUACAAUAUAUGGUAUACAGUGAGAUAUAUGAUAUUUACAAAUGAUGAGGCCGAGAUAGAUGCUACACCCAUACACAAAGGAAUAAAGUUAAUAAUCAAUUCCCAAAUGGAAGAUGGAGAUUUUCCACAGCCGGACGCAACAGGAGUGUUUUUCAGAGAAACCGUCAUAAACUAUGCAUCACAUCGUAACAUACCUAUAUGGGCUCAUGGAGAGUAUCGAAGCAGAGUGUUGCAUGCAUCAUAAUGUAAGCAUAAUUCAUAAGAAUAUUUUCAAUUUUCUCUUAUUGAUUCCAUAGUCAAUUUACAAAUGGUAAACAUGUAUCAGUUAUAAUGUAAACCUUGUAUUUGAUUAUUUCCAAUGUCCAAUGUAAUAUUAGUUCUUA